Unclassified non-coding RNA from Bison bison bison, 300 nucleotides. It matches the Rfam family "Metazoan signal recognition particle RNA". Rfam says of the family: The signal recognition particle (SRP) is a universally conserved ribonucleoprotein. It is involved in the co-translational targeting of proteins to membranes. The eukaryotic SRP consists of a 300-nucleotide 7S RNA and six proteins: SRPs 72, 68, 54, 19, 14, and 9. The record is from Ensembl. NCBI's taxonomy places the organism in Eukaryota, Metazoa, Chordata, Mammalia, Artiodactyla, Bovidae.
GCCGGGCGCGGUGGCGCGCGCCUGUAGUCCCAGCUACUCGGGAGGCUGAGGCUGGAGGAUCGCUUGAGCUCAGGAGUUCUGGGCUGCAGUGCGCUAUGCCGAUCGGGUGUCCGCACUAAGUUCGGCAUCAAUAUGGUGACCUCCCGGGAGCGGGGGACCACCAGGUUGCCUAAGGAGGGGUGAACCGGCCCAGGUCGGAAACGGAGCAGGUCAAAACUCCCGUGCUGAUCAGUAGUGGGAUCGCGCCUGUGAAUAGCCACUGUACUCCAGCCUGGGCAACAUAGCGAGACCCCGUCUCUU